UCACACCACCAGUUUGCCGAGGAA
This 24-nucleotide unclassified non-coding RNA is filed under the name Mus musculus (house mouse). RNAcentral describes it as "oocyte_clustered_small_RNA296". The record is from RNAcentral. Lineage: Eukaryota; Metazoa; Chordata; Mammalia; Rodentia; Muridae.